GCCGGAGUGGUGGAACGGUAGACACGCAGCACUUAGGAUGCUGUGCCUUCGGGCGUGGGGGUUCGAGUCCCCCCUUCGGCA
This 81-nucleotide transfer RNA is filed under the name uncultured Nocardioidaceae bacterium. RNAcentral describes it as "tRNA-Leu-TAG". It matches the Rfam family "tRNA". Rfam says of the family: Transfer RNA (tRNA) molecules are approximately 80 nucleotides in length. Their secondary structure includes four short double-helical elements and three loops (D, anti-codon, and T loops). Further hydrogen bonds mediate the characteristic L-shaped molecular structure. tRNAs have two regions of fundamental functional importance: the anti-codon, which is responsible for specific mRNA codon recognition, and the 3' end, to which the tRNAs corresponding amino acid is attached (by aminoacyl-tRNA synthetases). tRNAs cope with the degeneracy of the genetic code in two manners: having more than one tRNA (with a specific anti-codon) for a particular amino acid; and 'wobble' base-pairing, i.e. permitting non-standard base-pairing at the 3rd anti-codon position. RNAcentral also lists the same sequence under 1 other name. Lineage: Bacteria; Bacillati; Actinomycetota; Actinomycetes; Propionibacteriales; Nocardioidaceae. The record is from RNAcentral.